Molecule: ribosomal RNA, 536 nt
Filed under: Fusarium oxysporum f. sp. cepae
Lineage: Eukaryota; Fungi; Ascomycota; Sordariomycetes; Hypocreales; Nectriaceae
Description: eukaryotic LSU rRNA
Rfam family: 5.8S ribosomal RNA (bases 181-334)
Source: RNAcentral
CUUCCGUUGGUGAAACAGCGGAGGGAUCAUUACCGAGUUUACAACUCCCAAACCCCUGUGAACAUACCACUUGUUGCCUCGGCGGAUCAGCCCGCUCCCGGUAAAACGGGACGGCCCGCCAGAGGACCCCUAAACUCUGUUUCUAUAUGUAACUUCUGAGUAAAACCAUAAAUAAAUCAAAACUUUCAACAACGGAUCUCUUGGUUCUGGCAUCGAUGAAGAACGCAGCAAAAUGCGAUAAGUAAUGUGAAUUGCAGAAUUCAGUGAAUCAUCGAAUCUUUGAACGCACAUUGCGCCCGCCAGUAUUCUGGCGGGCAUGCCUGUUCGAGCGUCAUUUCAACCCUCAAGCACAGCUUGGUGUUGGGACUCGCGUUAAUUCGCGUUCCUCAAAUUGAUUGGCGGUCACGUCGAGCUUCCAUAGCGUAGUAGUAAAACCCUCGUUACUGGUAAUCGUCGCGGCCACGCCGUUAAACCCCAACUUCUGAAUGUUGACCUCGGAUCAGGUAGGAAUACCCGCUGAACUUAAGCAUAUNUUU